UCUAAGGAAUUAAUCGGAAACCUACACAUUGUCGAAACGGUGUUCAGUUUUGAGGGGUUUAGCUCUCAGCUUGAACUUUGGAAAGAAAUAAUAUCAGUUUCUAAUAAAGC
Molecule: unclassified non-coding RNA, 110 nt
Filed under: Limosilactobacillus fermentum
Lineage: Bacteria; Bacillati; Bacillota; Bacilli; Lactobacillales; Lactobacillaceae
Description: Lactobacillus fermentum partial 16S-23S ribosomal RNA intergenci spacer
Source: RNAcentral